Molecule: long non-coding RNA, 105 nt
Organism: Thalassophryne amazonica
Lineage: Eukaryota; Metazoa; Chordata; Actinopteri; Batrachoidiformes; Batrachoididae
Exons: 3
Source: RefSeq, a predicted model, not a curated record
UGUGUUUUGUCUACAAAAGGGAAAAAGACAAUAAAAUUAGAUUUUUGGAAAAACGAGUGGAUGAGUUGGAACAAUACACCAGAAUGGAUGAUGUUAUUGUAACAG